GAUGAACGCUGGCGGCGUGCUUAACACAUGCAAGUCGAACGAAGCACUUAUGAUUGAGAUUUCGGUUGAUUGAUUAAGUGACUUAGUGGCGGACGGGUGAGUAACGCGUGGGUAACCUGCCUUGUACAGGGGGAUAACAGUUAGAAAUGACUGCUAAUACCGCAUAACCCGCUAAGGUCGCAUGACCUAGACGGAAAAGAUUUAUCGGUACAAGAUGGACCCGCGUCUGAUUAGCUAGUUGGUGAGGUAACGGCCUACCAAGGCGACGAUCAGUAGCCGGCCUGAGAGGGUGACCGGCCACAUUGGGACUGAGACACGGCCCAAAACUCCUACGGGGAGGCAGCAGUGGGGAAUAUUGCACAAUGGGGGAAACCCUGAUGCAGCAACGCCGCGUGAGUGAAGAAGUAUUUCGGUAUGUAAAGCUCUAUCAGCAGGGAAGAAAAUGAACGGUACCUGACUAAGAAGCCCCGGCUAACUACGUG
Molecule: ribosomal RNA, 482 nt
Filed under: uncultured bacterium
Lineage: Bacteria
Description: bacterial SSU rRNA
Rfam family: Bacterial small subunit ribosomal RNA
Source: RNAcentral